UAGGGAAUCUUCGGCAAUGGGGGGCAACCCUGACCGAGCAACGCCGCGUGAGUGAAGAAGGUUUUCGGANCGUAAAGCUCUGUUGUAAGAGAAGAACGUGUGUGAGAGUGGAAAGUUCACACAGUGACGGUAACUUACCAGAAAGGGACGGCUAACUACGUGUCAG
Molecule: ribosomal RNA, 166 nt
Filed under: uncultured bacterium
Lineage: Bacteria
Description: partial 16S rRNA
Rfam family: Bacterial small subunit ribosomal RNA
Source: RNAcentral